RNAcentral lists this ribosomal RNA (324 nucleotides) under uncultured eukaryote. Its description in RNAcentral is "partial 18S ribosomal RNA". It matches the Rfam family "Eukaryotic small subunit ribosomal RNA", at positions 1470 to 1796 of the family's 1831-position model. The record is from RNAcentral.
CCCUUAGAUGUUCUGGGCCGCACGCGCGCUACACUGACGGAGUCAACGAGUUGUCCUACAUCGGAAGGUGUGGGUAAUCUUUUGAAACUUCGUCGUGCUGGGGAUAGAUCUUUGCAAUUUUCGAUCUUGAACGAGGAAUUCCUAGUAAGCGUGAUUCAUCAGAUCGCGUUGAUUACGUCCCUGCCCUUUGUACACACCGCCCGUCGCUACUACCGAUUGAAUGGUUUAGUGAGGCCUCGGGACUGGCGCGCUCGAGUAGCAAUACACCUGCGCGCCGGGAACUUGGUCAAACUUGAUCAUUUAGAGGAAGUAAAAGUCGUAACA